This is a non-coding RNA of Macaca mulatta (Rhesus monkey), 636 nucleotides long. Lineage: Eukaryota; Metazoa; Chordata; Mammalia; Primates; Cercopithecidae. The record is from RefSeq and is a predicted model, not a curated record.
CACAGAGAGACAGGGGGCCUUUUGCCAAGUCAGUUGCGGUUGAUGGAGAGGUUAACAGUAACUUGAGUCCUGAGGGUUAGGAAAAUCUUGCAAAGCUACAUCUCCUGGUUUUUACAACCUCUCUUGAUAAGCAUUGAACUGGGAGUGGGGAGUCCUCUAUUUUAUUCACUAUUACUGACUGGCUACCUAGAUGAGGUUUCCCAUAGACCACAUAGCCCUGAGACCGUGUGUGUGUGUGUGUGUGUGUGUGUGUGUGUGGUGGCAGGGAGGGUGGUAGGGACAGGGCAUUAGAGGACAGAAGACAGCAAUAGCUCUUGCCCCUACCCUGCACCCUCAACAUCUAAGGAACGGCUGGCACACACCAGAUGAGGAGCCCCACCCUGGAUGCCAGAGGCCCUGCAGAACGUUUCAGAUGUUCAUUUACUUCAGAAACUUUCAGGCAGAUUGUGAUAUCCUGACUUCUAUCAAGAUUGAAGCAGGUCAGCUUUUCUGAAGAAAAGGUCUGUGUCUAGGAGCAGCCUGAAAAACAGGAUCAAUACCGUUAGUGGUUCCAAGCACUGAACAGAUUACCACCACCUCAACACCCCACCCCCAUCCUCCCUGCAAUUCAAAAUAAAAACAAUGUUGAACUUUUAA